AUCUUUGUGCACGGGCACGCGAGGUAGUCAGUGAGGUUAACAACCGAGACGCUUCCUAUUGCUUAUUGCAAACUAAAAUCCACAACCGUGCGUCGAGCUUAGUCUCGUUCGCCAAUCUCUUGCUAUGAUGCCAUUCC
RNAcentral lists this small nuclear RNA (137 nucleotides) under Rhodotorula graminis WP1. Its description in RNAcentral is "U4 spliceosomal RNA". It matches the Rfam family "U4 spliceosomal RNA". From Rfam's summary of the family: U4 small nuclear RNA (U4 snRNA) is a component of the major U2-dependent spliceosome. The structure of U4 snRNA from yeast and human has been reported. Lineage: Eukaryota; Fungi; Basidiomycota; Microbotryomycetes; Sporidiobolales; Sporidiobolaceae. The record is from Rfam by way of RNAcentral.